CAAAUCAGCACGGCCCUUACGUCCGGGGCGACACACGUGUUACAAUGGGGGCNACAMCCGGUUGMUACCUAGCGAUAGGAUGCUAAUCUGUAAAGCCCCUCCCAGUUCGGAUUGGAGUCUGCAACCCGACUCCAUGAAGUUGGAUUUGCUAGUAAUCGCGCAUCAGCCAUGGCACGGUGAAUACGUUCCCGGRCCUUGUACACACCGCCCGUCAAGCCAUGGAAGYUCCGGGGYACCUGAAGUACGUGACCGGCAAGGAGCGUCCUAGGGUAAACCUAGUAAACUGGGG
This 289-nucleotide ribosomal RNA is filed under the name uncultured Eubacterium sp. Its description in RNAcentral is "partial 16S ribosomal RNA". It matches the Rfam family "Bacterial small subunit ribosomal RNA", at positions 1186 to 1480 of the family's 1533-position model. The record is from RNAcentral. Lineage: Bacteria; Bacillati; Bacillota; Clostridia; Eubacteriales; Eubacteriaceae.